Molecule: small RNA, 581 nt
Filed under: Pongo abelii (Sumatran orangutan)
Lineage: Eukaryota; Metazoa; Chordata; Mammalia; Primates; Hominidae
Description: retained intron
Source: RNAcentral
GAUGUUGAAAAUGUUUUUUUAAAAAAUCUAACCUAGACCAUCCCAAAUUAUGAAUUACUGUUGUGUGAAACAGUGAGACUACUGUUUUUAUGCCACAGGUAUAUAAUUAUGCAAAUAAAUACUACAUCUUUGCAUUCAUUUUGGUUUUAUCGAAUUUUCAUUCCAGGAAUGUCUGAAUCUGAACAGGCUCUUAAAGGUACUUCUCAGAUUAAAUUACUCUCAUCUGAAGAUAUAGAAGGGAUGCGACUUGUAUGUAGGCUUGCUAGAGAAGUUUUGGAUAUUGCUGCUGGCAUGAUUAAACCAGGUGUAACUACUGAAGAAAUAGAUCAUGCUGUACACUUAGCAUGUAUUGCAAGAAAUUGCUACCCUUCUCCCCUGAAUUAUUAUAAUUUCCCAAAGUCUUGUUGUACCUCAGUGAAUGAAGUCAUUUGCCAUGGAAUACCAGACAGACGGCCCUUGCAAGAAGGUGACAUUGUUAAUGUGGACAUCACUCUUUAUCGCAAUGGUUAUCAUGGGGACCUGAAUGAGACAUUUUUUGUUGGAGAAGUGGAUGAUGGAGCACGGAAACUUGUUCAGACCAC